AGUGAACGCUGGCGGUAGGCCUAACACAUGCAAGUCGAACGGCAGCACAGGAGAGCUUGCUCUCUGGGUGGCGAGUGGCGGACGGGUGAGGAAUACAUCGGAAUCUACUCUGUCGUGGGGGAUAACGUAGGGAAACUUACGCUAAUACCGCAUACGACCUACGGGUGACAGCAGGGGAUCUUCGGACCUUGCGCGAUUGAAUGAGCCGAUGUCGGAUUAGCUAGUUGGCGGGGUAAAGGCCCACCAAGGGGACGACACGUAGCUGGUCUGAGAGGAUGAUCAGCCACACUGGAACUGAGACACGGUCCAGACUCCUACGGGAGGCAGCAGUGGGGAAUAUUGGACGAUGGGCGCAAGCCUGAUCCAGCCAUACCGCGUGGGUGAAGAAGGCCUUCGGGUUGUAAAGCCCUUUUGUUGGGAAAGAAAUCCAGCUGGCUAAUACCCGGUUGGGAUGACGGUACCCAAAGAAUAAGCACCGGCUAACUUCGUGCCAGCAGCCGCCGUAA
Molecule: ribosomal RNA, 506 nt
Filed under: uncultured bacterium
Lineage: Bacteria
Description: partial 16S ribosomal RNA
Rfam family: Bacterial small subunit ribosomal RNA
Source: RNAcentral